AGAGUUUGAUCCUGGCUCAGGACGAACGCUGGCGGUGCGCCUUAUGCAUGCAAGUCGAGCGAAGCUUUUCAGUAGUUUACUACAGAAAAUGACUGAGCGGCGAACGGGUGAGUAACGCGUGAGCAAUCUACCUUAGUUACUGGGAUAGCCCGAGGAAACUCGGAUUAAUACCGGAUAAUCUUAUUACAUCACAUGAUAUUUUAAGUAAAGGUCAGCCGAACUAAGAUGAGCUCGCGUUCUAUCAGCUUGUUGGUGGGGUAAAAGCCUACCAAGGCUACGACGGAUAGCUGGUCUGAGAGGACGAUCAGCCACACUGGGACUGAGACACGGCCCAGACUCCUACGGGAGGCUGCAGCAGGGAAUAUUGCGCAAUGAGCGAAAGCUUGACGCAGCGACACCGCGUGUGGGAUGACGGUUCUAGGAUUGUAAACCACUUUCAGGAGGGAAGAAAAUGACGGUACCUCCACAAGAAGCCCCGGCCAACUACGUGCCAGCAGCCGCGGUAAUACGUAGGGGGCGAGCGUUGUCCGGAUUUAUUGGGCGUAAAGAGCUCGUAGGCGGUUCAACAAGUCGGUCGUGAAAGUUCAGGGCUUAACCCUGAAAUGUCGAUCGAUACUGUUGUGACUAGGAUAUGGUAGAGGUGAGUGGAAUUCCGAGUGUAGCGGUGAAAUGCGUAGAUAUUCGGAGGAACACCAAUAGCGAAGGCAGCUCACUGGACCACUAUCGACGCUGAGGAGCGAAAGCUAGGGGAGCAAACAGGAUUAGAUACCCUGGUAGUCCUAGCUGUAAACGAUGGAUACUAGAUGUAGGAAUUGGAUUGACGAUUUCUGUAUCGUAGCUAACGCGUUAAGUAUCCCGCCUGGGGAGUACGGUCGCAAG
This 879-nucleotide ribosomal RNA is filed under the name marine metagenome. RNAcentral describes it as "bacterial SSU rRNA". It matches the Rfam family "Bacterial small subunit ribosomal RNA", at positions 8 to 892 of the family's 1533-position model. The record is from RNAcentral.